AGUAAUAUGUCUGAAUUUAAGGUGAUAAAUUGUAAAUUUAUUUAUAGAAAGGUUUCUUGUUACUA
This 65-nucleotide transfer RNA is filed under the name Eupelmus anpingensis. RNAcentral describes it as "tRNA-Tyr". Lineage: Eukaryota; Metazoa; Arthropoda; Insecta; Hymenoptera; Eupelmidae. The record is from RNAcentral.